Molecule: ribosomal RNA, 467 nt
Filed under: uncultured bacterium
Lineage: Bacteria
Description: partial 16S ribosomal RNA
Rfam family: Bacterial small subunit ribosomal RNA
Source: RNAcentral
GAUGAACGCUGGCAGAAUGCUUAACACAUGCAAGUCCACUUGAAUUUGGGUUUUUAUCUUAGGUUUGGGUGGCGGACGGGUGAGUAACGCGUAAAGAACUUGCCUCACAGCUAGGGACAACAUUUGGAAACGAAUGCUAAUACCUAAUAUUAUGAUAAUAGGGCAUCCUAUAAUUAUGAAAGCUAUAAGCGCUGUGAGAGAGCUUUGCGUCCCAUUAGCUAGUUGGAGAGGUAACGGCUCACCAAGGCGAUGAUGGGUAGCCGGCCUGAGAGGGUGAUCGGCCACAAGGGAACUGAGACACGGCCCUUACUCCUACGGGGGGCAGCAGUGGGGAAUAUUGGACAAUGGACCGAGAGUCUGAUCCAGCAAUUCUGUGUGCACGAUGAAGUUUUUCGGAAUGUAAAGUGCUUUCAGUUGGGAAGAAACAAAUGACGGUACCAACAGAAGAAGUGACGGCUAAAUACGUG